RNAcentral lists this transfer RNA (62 nucleotides) under Kokeshia sp. NKU02. RNAcentral describes it as "tRNA-Glu". Lineage: Eukaryota; Metazoa; Arthropoda; Insecta; Hemiptera; Schizopteridae. The record is from RNAcentral.
AUUUAUAUAGUUUAAAAAAAACAUGUUACUUUCACUAACAAAAUAUAAUACUAUUAUAAAUU